AGAGUUUGAUCCUGGCUCAGGACGAACGCUGGCGGCGUGCUUAACACAUGCAAGUCGAACGGAAAGGCCCUUUCGGGGGUGCUCGAGUGGCGAACGGGUGAGUAACACGUGAGCAAUCUGCCCUUCACAUCGGGAUAACCCCCGGAAACGGGAGCUAAUACCGGAUACGACCACUUCAGGCAUCUGAUGGUGGUGGAAAGUUCCGGCGGUGGAGGAUGAGCUCGCGGCCUAUCAGCUUGUUGGUGAGGUAAUGGCUCACCAAGGCUUCGACGGGUAGCCGGCCUGAGAGGGUGACCGGCCACACUGGGACCGAGACACGGCCCAGACUCCUACGGGAGGCAGCAGUGGGGAAUAUUGCGCAAUGGGCGAAAGCCUGACGCAGCGACGCCGCGUGUGGGAUGACGGCCUUCGGGUUGUAAACCACUGUCGGGAGGGACGAAUGCGCCGCAAGGCGAGUGACGGUACCUCCAAAGGAAGCACCGGCUAACUACGUGCCAGCAGCCGCGGUAAUCAAUCGCC
RNAcentral lists this ribosomal RNA (519 nucleotides) under uncultured bacterium. RNAcentral's name for it is "bacterial SSU rRNA". It matches the Rfam family "Bacterial small subunit ribosomal RNA", at positions 8 to 529 of the family's 1533-position model. The record is from RNAcentral.